This 253-nucleotide ribosomal RNA is filed under the name uncultured bacterium. RNAcentral's name for it is "partial 16S ribosomal RNA". It matches the Rfam family "Bacterial small subunit ribosomal RNA", at positions 524 to 776 of the family's 1533-position model. The record is from RNAcentral.
UACGAAGGGUGCAAACGUUGCUCGGAAUUAUUGGGCGUAAAGCGCACGUAGGCGGCUUUGCAAGUCGGAUGUGAAAUCCCUCGGCUCAACCAAGGAAGUGCAUCCGAAACUGCAGAGCUUGAGUACCAAAGAGGAUCGCGGAAUUCCCGGUGUAGAGGUGAAAUUCGUAGAUAUCGGGAAGAACACCAGUGGCGAAAGCGCUCUACUGGGCCAUAACUGACACUGAGGGACGAAAGCUAGGGGAGCGAAAGGG